This is a long non-coding RNA of Bos indicus x Bos taurus (hybrid cattle), 187 nucleotides long. Lineage: Eukaryota; Metazoa; Chordata; Mammalia; Artiodactyla; Bovidae. The record is from Ensembl.
GUGUGUGACUCAUUUACCAGGACGCCAGAGGGGCUCAGCCCCGAGGGAGACCGAGCUAUUUCCCCAACAACCCUGAAUGUUCAUUGCAAGGACUGAAGCUGAAGCUCCAAUACUUUGGCCACCUGAUGCAAAGAACUGACUCAUUUGAAAAGACCCUGAUGCUGGGAAAGACUGAAGGCGGAGGAGA